CAGUCGAGCGAAUGGAUUAAGAGCUUGCUCUUAUGAAGUUAGCGGCGGACGGGUGAGUAACACGUGGGUAACCUGCCCAUAAGACUGGGAUAACUCCGGGAAACCGGGGCUAAUACCGGAUAACAUUUUGAACUGCAUGGUUCGAAAUUGAAAGGCGGCUUCGGCUGUCACUUAUGGAUGGACCCGCGUCGCAUUAGCUAGUUGGUGAGGUAACGGCUCACCAAGGCAACGAUGCGUAGCCGACCUGAGAGGGUGAUCGGCCACACUGGGACUGAGACACGGCCCAGACUCCUACGGGAGGCAGCAGUAGGGAAUCUUCCGCAAUGGACGAAAGUCUGACGGAGCAACGCCGCGUGAGUGAUGAAGGCUUUCGGGUCGUAAAACUCUGUUGUUAGGGAAGAACAAGUGCUAGUUGAAUAAGCUGGCACCUUGACGGUACCUAACCAGAAAGCCACGGCUAACUACGUGCCAGCAGCCGCGGUAAUACGUAGGUGGCAAGCGUUAUCCGGAAUUAUUGGGCGUAAAGCGCGCGCAGGUGGUUUCUUAAGUCUGAUGUGAAAGCCCACGGCUCAACCGUGGAGGGUCAUUGGAAACUGGGAGACUUGAGUGCAGAAGAGGAAAGUGGAAUUCCAUGUGUAGCGGUGAAAUGCGUAGAGAUAUGGAGGAACACCAGUGGCGAAGGCGACUUUCUGGUCUGUAA
Molecule: ribosomal RNA, 700 nt
Filed under: Bacillus sp. KLBMP 2458
Lineage: Bacteria; Bacillati; Bacillota; Bacilli; Caryophanales; Bacillaceae
Description: bacterial SSU rRNA
Rfam family: Bacterial small subunit ribosomal RNA
Source: RNAcentral